UUAACACAUGCAAGUCGAACGAUGAACCCCGCUUGCGGGGGGAUUAGUGGCGAACGGGUGAGUAACACGUGAGUAACCUGCCCUUAACUCUGGGAUAAGCCUUGGAAACGGGGUCUAAUACUGGAUAUUGACUUUUCCUCGCAUGGGGAUUGGUUGAAAGAUUUAUUGGUUUUGGAUGGACUCGCGGCCUAUCAGCUUGUUGGUGAGGUAAUGGCUCACCAAGGCGACGACGGGUAGCCGGCCUGAGAGGGUGACCGGCCACACUGGGACUGAGACACGGCCCAGACUCCUACGGGAGGCAGCAGUGGGGAAUAUUGCACAAUGGGCGAAAGCCUGAUGCAGCGACGCCGCGUGAGGGAUGACGGCCUUCGGGUUGUAAACCUCUUUCAGUAGGGAACAAGGCCAGUGUUUAGCUGGUUGAGGGUACUUGCAGAAGAAGCGCCGGCUAACUACGUGCCAGCAGCCGCGGUAAUACGUAGGGCGCAAGCGUUAUCCGGAAUUAUUGGGCGUAAAGAGCUCGUAGGCGGUUUGUCGCGUCUGCCGUGAAAGUCCGGGGCUCAACCCCGGAUCUGCGGUGGGUACGGGCAGACUAGAGUGAUGUAGGGGAGACUGGAAUUCCUGGUGUAGCGGUGAAAUGCGCAGAUAUCAGGAGGAACACCGAUGGCGAAGGCAGGUCUCUGGGCAUUAACUGACGCUGAGGAGCGAAAGCAUGGGGAGCGAACAGGAUUAGAUACCCUGGUAGUCCAUGCCGUAAACGUUGGGC
Molecule: ribosomal RNA, 763 nt
Filed under: Arthrobacter psychrolactophilus
Lineage: Bacteria; Bacillati; Actinomycetota; Actinomycetes; Micrococcales; Micrococcaceae
Description: bacterial SSU rRNA
Rfam family: Bacterial small subunit ribosomal RNA
Source: RNAcentral